Zea mays is the source of this 327-nucleotide long non-coding RNA. RefSeq lists it as uncharacterized. Lineage: Eukaryota; Viridiplantae; Streptophyta; Magnoliopsida; Poales; Poaceae. The record is from RefSeq and is a predicted model, not a curated record. The transcript has 2 exons.
UUCCUCUCCCUCCCUCUCCCCACGCCACUCUCCCUACUCCCUCUCUCUCUCUAUCUCCCUCUCUCUAGCUCCACAUGCAACAGCAGCCCCCCUCCCAUGGAGCUGACGACCGAGCCCUCCCAAGCUCCACUCUCACCUUGGCAAGCUCUCCCAUGGCGUCUCCCCCUCCUCUACGGCAGUAAGGUGUAGGACUGAGAGAUGACGAUCGUGCAAGUGAUGUGGUGCCAACCACAAGAUGCAGUUGGUGGACGAUCUGAAGAGAUGAUGGACUUAUCCAGUGGAUGCUCGCCAAGCGAGUACCCACCCCAGCAAACACUAUCUAAGUGU